AACGCACCUUGCGCUCCUUGGUAUUCCGAGGAGCAUGCCUGUUUGAGUGUCAUUAAUAUAUCAACCUCUUCAGCUUUUUGCAUGUUGAGUGUUGGAUGUGGGGGUAUUUUUUGCUGGACUCUUGAAUCUGAGGUCAGCUCCCCUAAAAUGCAUCAGCGAAACAAUUUGUUUACCGCUCAUUGGUGUGAUAACAUCUACGCUAUUGACGGUGAAGCAUGUUUAGCUCCUAACAGUCCAUUAACUUGGACAAACCUCUUAUUAAUGUGACCUCAAAUCAGGUAGGACUACCCGCUGAACUUAA
Molecule: unclassified non-coding RNA, 301 nt
Filed under: uncultured fungus
Lineage: Eukaryota; Fungi
Description: sequence contains ITS2
Rfam family: 5.8S ribosomal RNA (bases 1-52)
Source: RNAcentral